CCGGCAGGCCGGCUCGGACCAUGAGCACAGUUCCAAGAAUGCAGGGAUGAGGAGGAGCCGGGCUGGGCCGUUGAGUCCAGGCUGAGCCCACACAUCAUGUUCCUCUCUCAGAGCAUCUUGACAGGAGGGAGCCAUCUCUGUGGGACCCGCCUCUGCCAUGAAAUUGCCCAUGCCUGGUUUGGCUUAGCCAUCGGGGCCCGAGACUGGACGGAGGAGUGGCUGAGUGAAGGCUUCGCCACUCAUUUGGAGGAUGUGUUUUGGGCCACAGCACAGCAGCUGGCCCCCCAUGAGGCCUGGGAGCAGCAGGAGCUGAGGGCUUGUCUGCGUUGGCGUCGCCUCCAGGACGAGAUGCAAUGCUCCCCCGAGGAGAUGCAGGUGUUAAGACCCAGUAAAGACAAAACUGGCCACACAAGUGACUCAGGAGCAUCUGUUAUCAAGCAUGGACUUAAUCUGGAGAAGAUCUUCAUGCAGGUGCAUUAUUUAAAGGGCUACUUCCUUCUUCGGUUUCUUGCCAAAAGACUUGGAGAUGAAACCUAUUUUUCAUUUUUAAGAAAAUUUGUGCACACAUUUCAUGGACAGCUGAUUCUUUCCCAGGAUUUUCUUCAAAUGCUACUGGAGAACAUUCCAGAAGAAAAAAGGCUUGAGCUGUCUGUUGAAAACAUCUACCAAGACUGGCUUGAGAGUUCCGGAAUACCAAAGCCGCUGCAGAGGGAGCGCCGCUCCGGGGCGGAGUGCGGGCUCGCGCGGCAAGUGCGCGCCGAGGUCACGAAAUGGAUUCGAGUGAACCGGAGACCCCGAAAACGGAAGCGCAGGGAGAAAGAAGAGGUGUUUGAAAAGGUUCGCCAUCGGUGGUGUGAACUCAUUGUUAAACACAAGUUCACGAAAGCCUACAAAAGUGUGGAGAGGUUCCUUCAGGAGGAUCAGGCCAUGGGUGUGUACCUC
Molecule: small RNA, 942 nt
Filed under: Pongo abelii (Sumatran orangutan)
Lineage: Eukaryota; Metazoa; Chordata; Mammalia; Primates; Hominidae
Description: processed transcript
Source: RNAcentral